AAUAUUGCACAAUGGGCGCAAGCCUGAUGCAGCAACGCCGCGUGAGGGAUGACUGCCUUCGGGUUGUAAACCUCUUUUAGUAGGGAAGAAGCCCUUUGGGGUGACGGUACCUGAAGAAAAAGCAACGGCCAACUACGGUCCAGAAGCCGCGGUAAUACGUAGGGUGCAAGCGUUGUCCGGAAUUAUUGGGCGUAAAGAGCUCGUAGGCGGUUUGUCGCGUCUGCUGUGAAAGCCCGGGGCUCAACCCCGGGUCUGCAGUGGGUACGGGCAGACUUGAGUGCGGUAGGGGAGAUUGGAAUUCCUGGUGUAGCGGUGGAAUGCGCAGAUAUCAGGAGGAACACCGAUGGCGAAGGCAGAUCUCUGGGCCGUUACUGACGCUGAGGAGCGAAAGCAUGGGGAGCGAACA
Molecule: ribosomal RNA, 406 nt
Filed under: uncultured bacterium
Lineage: Bacteria
Description: partial 16S ribosomal RNA
Rfam family: Bacterial small subunit ribosomal RNA
Source: RNAcentral